AGUCCAGGGGGAAGGAGUUCCGGGAAUGGAAGGGAAAUGAAACUGUCUGAGAAGCAGGCCAGCUGAGAUUCCCUCAGGGAAACAAAUCAUUCCGAUCUGCCUGAAUCUCCAAAGCGUUUUAGAUAAGACACCGCAACAGAAGCAGGCUGGGGCUCCAUUCAGCAGCGUGUGCGUGUGUGCCCGCCGCAGGGCGCUGGUUGGGUGUUGGGGGAGGACAGAGUGGUCUGGAACCGAACCGGCAGUGUUUCUGAGUUAUGCCCUGCAACAUUAGGCUGAGUCUAAGGAUAUCAAGUCAACAAAACAGUCAGGGAGCAGUCAGAUAAUGAAAUUAAGCCUGCAGUUGAAAGUGUCGGAGACGGUUGUUAGAAAGAGGCCGAAGUUGAGCGCGGUCUUGGAGGGCCUUGUUUUGGGAGGACCAGCAUUUUCUGGUAAGUACCAGUAGCAGCUGGGGGUCUGAGCCCUUGGCUGCACCGGUUGGGAGGCAAGGCACCCUUGGCAUCAUGACGCAGACUCGGGAGCUCCCCUACCAGAGACGAAAUGCUGCUUCUGUGAUUUACUCGCUGUGGAUUAUGGGCAUGGGACUUGACUUCUCUGUGUCUCAAUUUCCUUUUAUACAAAAUGAAGAUAAUAACAAGACCCAUCUCACAGAGUCGUUGCAAAGCUAAGAUCAGUUAUCCCAUGUGAAAUGCUUAGAACAGUCCUAACGUACAGAACUAAGAACUAAGAACUGCGCGGCUCUUGGUGUAAACAUCAUUCAUUUUCUUUGGGCCGAUUUAGUGCCCUUUUGUUACCUGCCUCCUCCAGCUGCUGCUGUCAGGUAGACAUAGUCUUAUUUCAACUUUAUAAUUACCUGUAUGAGGAAAGCAGAGCAAGUGCCAUUAUCAUGGUCCUUUGGCAGGUGAGAAACUGGUUGCUUUUUUUCUUUGACUGGUAUUCAAGGUCCCGGUUCUUACUGAGAUUUUCGCUUACAUUUCUCCUGUUCACUUUUAGCCUCUUCUAGGAGGCAAAAGAAUGAUUUCUUUUUAUAUACCACAAAUAUUUAUGGUACAUCAAAACCUUUUCGGGUGCUAUGAACAUAAGGGCAAAUAAAACCCCUGGAGUCCUUGCUCCCAUGGGGCUUAUAGCCUCCUUUACCUCCUCCCUCUUGUUGGAAUCUAAGCUGUAUCCGAUCUACCUUUGUGUCCACCAAAGUAUUUAGCACUAAGUGUUGCUUGUAGUAAGUGUUUAAAUGCUUGUUGGUAUAAUAGGUUUAACACGUAGCUGACUCCUUACCAAUGUCAGACUGUGUUGGUUGUUUUACAGUCAUUAUCUUGCGAAUCCUAGAAUAACAAUCCCUUUUUAUACUGGGAGAACCACUAUUAGAGACUUGCCUAAGUUCAUUCACAUAGUAAGUCAGCACAAGGACUUGUCCUAGGCUGGCUUAGCUCCAAAUUUCAUGCUUUUUGAGUUUGGGAAGGAAAUUGAGGGGAGUGGGCUUUGUUAAAUUAUCUUGAUAGAUGUGCAAGAUGAAUCUCAGAGCGGUUAAGCCACCGAAAAUUGCCUAUGUCCUCACUACUCUCUGGCCUUCUUCAUUUGACCCUUCUUGUACUUUUCCAAAGGAUGAAAUUUCCUACUUGGACUAAGGCAUGGCCUGCAAGAUCUCUCUGUUUCUCGGGCAUCCAUGUCUGAUGGUAAAUUGAUGUGUUCUGCAUAUCCUGUUGGCAAGGAAGCAGAGAUCCACGUGCUGAGCUGUCCCCACAACCCUGGGAAAUGGAAAGAGCAUUUAUUCCACUUGCCACCCUGCUGGAAGUGUAGGGAUCUAUUUUUAGACCUAUGCUGAUCAAGGAAAUAAUUAAGCAGUAACUUGCUUAGUGUCUAUUACAGGCCUAUGCUCUGUGAAGACAAUACGGAUUUUAAAAUCUUUAUUUGUUUGAUUUAUUUUGGGUCUAAUUCAUAGGCAAUCAACUAUGCAUGACUUUUUUUUUUUUUUUUUUGUCUU
Sus scrofa (pig) is the source of this 1978-nucleotide non-coding RNA. The record is from RefSeq and is a predicted model, not a curated record. NCBI's taxonomy places the organism in Eukaryota, Metazoa, Chordata, Mammalia, Artiodactyla, Suidae.